Molecule: long non-coding RNA, 584 nt
Organism: Chinchilla lanigera (long-tailed chinchilla)
Lineage: Eukaryota; Metazoa; Chordata; Mammalia; Rodentia; Chinchillidae
Exons: 2
Source: RefSeq, a predicted model, not a curated record
GCGGCGACGGCGGCGGCGGGAGCGGGAGCAGCAGCAGCAGCGGCAGCCCCACGAUCGCUAAGGAAUGCGGCGGCUCCGCAUAACCACGGGGUCAGGGGUCACGGCUCCGGCCUCCGCUUUCCCGCUCUGCUGAAGGACCGAGACAGGACUGGCGGCAGGGCGGGACGGCGAGACGCGGCUUUCCCUCCGGCGCCUGGGUGCGUGCGUGUCUGUCGUGGGUGUGUGUGAGUGUGUGUGAAGAGUGAGGAGGGGGAGUGUGGGGUUUUUUUUUUUGAACAAAAACAAACCGAAAGGGCCACUGGGAAUCGUAGUCCCGGCUGCCUUUUUGGUCUCCUCCGCUCCGGAAGAAUAUGGCUGCGUGAAGCGCUUGGACCACACUUCCCGGCGUCCCCUGCAGCAAUCUUUUCUGCCCCCACCCCCACCUCCCCGCUUCGCUCAGAGCUCGUGCUGGGGGUCGAACCCAGGGUCUUGUGCUCAUACCUCUACCACCGAGCUACAGCCCGGCCCUGUUUUGAUUUGUAAGAGACGCUGCAUGGAAGGAGUAGCAGAAGUGGAAUUUCAAUAAACUUCACAUCAAAAGCCUU